ACUUUUGUUUCAUCCAACCUCACAAUAGAAAAAAUAUCUGCACUAGAAAACAGUAAGAAUUCUGACCUAGAGAAGAGGGAGGGAAGAAUAGAUGAUUUAUUAAGAGCCAACUGUGAUUUGAGACGGCAGAUUGAUGAACAGCAAAAGAUGCUAGAGAAAUACAAGGAACAAUUAAAUAGAUGUGUGACAAUGAGCAAGAAACUCCUUAUAGAAAAG
This 216-nucleotide long non-coding RNA is filed under the name Homo sapiens (human). RNAcentral's name for it is "non-protein coding lnc-METTL2B-3:16". The record is from RNAcentral. Lineage: Eukaryota; Metazoa; Chordata; Mammalia; Primates; Hominidae.